RNAcentral lists this ribosomal RNA (264 nucleotides) under uncultured bacterium. Its description in RNAcentral is "partial 16S ribosomal RNA". It matches the Rfam family "Bacterial small subunit ribosomal RNA", at positions 57 to 305 of the family's 1533-position model. The record is from RNAcentral.
GCAAGUCGUACGUGAAAGCUUCCUUCGGGAAGUGAUUAAAGUGGCGCACGGGUGAGUAACACGUGGAUAAUCUACCCGACAGACAGGGAUAACAUUUCGAAAGGAAUGCUAAUACCUGAUAAGCCUACGCCCUCCUCGGAGGAAGUAGGAAAAGGUGGGGACCUUCGGGCCUGCCGUUAUCGGAUGAGUCCGCGUCCCAUUAGCUAGUUGGUAGGGUAAUGGCCUACCAAGCCUACGAUCUAUAGCUGGUUUGAGAGGAUGAUC